Molecule: RNA transcript, 3873 nt
Organism: Varanus komodoensis (Komodo dragon)
Lineage: Eukaryota; Metazoa; Chordata; Lepidosauria; Squamata; Varanidae
Gene: TMEM138
Gene name: transmembrane protein 138
Exons: 12
Source: RefSeq, a predicted model, not a curated record
AGAAAAAAAAAAAGGCUUUGUUCCGGUUGAUCUAUUUAAAAAUUGUUUAAACGUUCAAAGGUGCAAUCCUCCGUAGGUUUUGACUGCAGUUGUAGGCCUUCCUUCUGUUCAAAUGUGAUUGCGCUUAACAAUGCUUCUUGUCUAUAUGCGCUACAUCUAGGGUUACCCAAGGAGCCAAUUUGCUGCAUUCUGAAGGGUGUUUUUAAGGGGAUUUUUGAUCGCAGUGCUAAAACUCGGUCUCACUUUUGCCCUGCAGUAUUAUCGACAGAUUACAUUGUCGGGUUGCUCUAAGCCACAUACCCACCUACUAUGCGUGAAUAGUACGUACAGCGGUUGUUUCAAUGCUAAAAAGCUAGCUAUAAAGUUUAAACGGGAAAAGAUAGCUUUGUUAAAAAGCGCGUGAACUACUUUCUUUGUUGGCUAUCUUUGCGCCCCGAGGGAAGUUCCUUACAAUAGAUUCUUAACGAAACCCCAGAAGCUCCGGACUAUGAUAUUGCUCUCUACUUUCGCGGGUCUACGGUCGCAAUCACGGGAACUUCCGGUGAUGCUAUCGCCUACGCUACCUCGGCCAGUUGCGUGGUCUCCAUGGAGAUGGCCAUCGGCGCUAGGUGAAUGUGGAGUGCCGCAGAGGGGGUCGGAGCGGCAACCGGGUUGUGCUUGUGUAACGGUUCGGGGAUGCGCUCCUAGGAUUACAUUCGCCCUUACUUAACGCAGGAAAGGUGAGGUGCAGCGAGGGCAUUUUGAAUCCCAGGUGCGUUGGCGUGGUGAGGUAGUCCGCUGGUAAUACGGAGCCAAACCCGAAUCAUCUGCAGGGUCAGGGUUAGAUUCCCCGAGACUGGCCCUGAGUUUCUACAUUUCAGCCCUUUUCUCGAGUGUCUAUGCCCAUUUUGCCUUCGUCAUCCUCUGCCGUGUAGAUAUAGGAAGCGAAGUACUUCGUGCACUGGAAAGUGUAAUGAAAACGCGUGGUAAUAAUGACUUAUCUCUCGUCUCGUUUCCAUAAAGAAGCAAGGAGCUCCUACUCGUUUAGCCUUUUAUCAAAACACCCGCACGAUCGAUUUGCUUCGAUCUUCAGCAGUAGACAUGCCUGACAUGCCCCAGAUCUGAAAGUGGAUAAUUAUUUAACCAUGGUUUGCUUCUUUUUACCUUUAUUGUGUUGCUUUCUUUACUUCCCUAUCCGCUAGUACGGUACUUCUGCAGGUCCGCUGUCUUCACCUUAAGGAGUGAUGGCUGAUUGCAUUGAAGGAAAAUCUUGUAGUCCUCUGUAACUUGAGCAUGAGCUGGCAACAUUUGGGAUGCAGACACUGAUGUCUCACAACUCUAGGCAAGGAAGAUGCUCCAGACCAGCAACUAUAGCCUGGUGCUCUCCUUGCAGUUCUUGCUGCUGUUCUAUGACCUCUUUGUCAACUCCUUCUCAGAACUGCUGCGUAUGGCCCCUGUCAUCCAGCUUGUGCUCUUCAUCAUUCAGGAUAUUGCCAUCCUCUUCAAUGUCAUCAUCAUCUUCCUUAUGUUCUUCAAUACCUUCAUCUUUCAGGCUGGCCUGGUUAAUCUUCUAUUCCACAAAUUUAAAGGCACCAUUGUUUUGUCAGCAGCAUACCUUGCUUUGAGCAUAUCUUUCCACAUCUGGGUCAUGAACCUUCGCUGGAAAAAUUCUCACUACUUUGUGUGGACAGAUGGGUUGCAAGCCCUCUUUGUUUUCCAGAGGCUGGAUCGCCAGCUCUCUUCAACCCCUCUGGAAAUUCUGCUGUUCCUCAAUGGCUGGUAUUAUGCUACUUAUUUCUUGCUGGAAAUCUUCAUAUUUGUUUAUAAAGGACUCCUGUUGCCCUACCCUUCUGCUAAUCUGGCUUUGGACCUGAUUAUGCUUUUCCUCUAUCUUGGAAUUGAAGUCACCAGAAUUUUUUUUGGCUCAAAAGGGAACCUCUGUCAGCGGAAAGUGCCACUUGCCAUCAGCCUGGCACUAACCUUUCCAGCAGCAGUGAUGGCAGCCUAUUAUCUGCUACUGCAGACCUAUGCUCUGCGUCUGGAAGCCAUCCUCAACGCUAUCCUGCUCCUCUUCUAUGCUGUUGAGCUGUUGCUGGGAAUACUCACCCUGGCUGCCUUCUCCAGUUUGGACUCCUACUGAGAAGCUGCCUGUGUGGAACUGUUUGUUUUUCACAAAUGGACAUCCCAGGAUGGCUUACAACAAUAAAUCAAUCACAACAAGGUACAAUACUGAGCAAGACAAUGUUGAAACCUAAUUAAAAAGAUUAAAUAGUAAAAUAAUGGGCAAAUAAAAAGGGUUUUGUCUGGCGCCGAAAAGAAUAUAAUGUUGGCGCCAGGCAAACCUCUCUGGGAACAUGGCCUGGGAGUGCACAGGACUAUUCAGAAACCCAGCUCCAAAGUCCUGCAACUUUGGUGUUAGAUCUCCAAAGCCUGAGCCCCCAUCCCAGUUCCCUGGCAGGUGAAACCAUGUCAGCUGCCUCUUGAGUGCAAGCUGGCCUUGGAGAGGAGGAAAGGGGGCAUGCCAGGUGGGUUGGGAGGAGAGCAUACCGGGCUUAUGCUGAUUCUCAUCAGCACCUCCGCCUCCUCCUCACCUGCUUCAUCUAGAUGGCUAAAAGCCCACCUGGGUGACCUGCAGGGGGUGUGGUACAGCAGAGGUGACGACUGUCGCCACACCUUGCUGCAUGCAUGAGGGAAGUGGGGCACAGACAUGCACCCCUGGUCUCUCCAUUUCGGCUGCACUUGUCAUGAGACACGUGUUUUUCAGCCAUGCUACCUUCUCUCUCCAAAGGACAAGGAGGAGGCCGCUAGAAACCUAAACAAACAAUGCCUGCCCCAUCUCUCCCUCGAGAGGAAGGUUUGGCGACUUCUGGGUUCUGACGGCAAACAGGAAACCCCGGACACUCCAGCUGGUGAUCCCUCUCUAGGGCAUGGCACUGGAGGAGGCUGGCCCUUGCGUGAAGCUGGAUGCGGCAGGUCAGGGAGUGAGGGAAGUGGCAGGGAGGCGCUGGAAGCCAGAGCCGAAUGUGGGUGGCCCUCAGGCGUGGGGACAGCAGCCAGCGCUGGAGCCAGCAUGGUUCACUGGCCAGUCAGGCCGGUUUCCAUGUGUGGAGGCGGGAUGGGCAACGUGUGCUCCUCCAUCUCAGACAACCUGGGUGGCCCUGUGUGGGAAGGCCUUUGGGUCGGUUUCUCAUGUUUCACGUUAAUGGCCAGGAUGAGUCUGGGAUACUUGCCCCUGUGCACCAUCAUCUUUCCAACAUGAUGGCUUUCAAGAAGGAAUGGGACAUAACUCUUUUCUUCAUUUAACUCAGGCUGGCAAACGAGAAAGAACCGCCCUGGAUUCCUAUUGCAUCCUCCCACAACCCUCUGAGUUUCUAGUGCUCUGGACGUCUCUGAACCUGUUUCAACUUACUGACUCCCUCUUAGAGCACGGUGCAAGGAAUUAAACACAGUACUGGAGUUUCCUGAACAGGUGGGAUGGCCAUGAGUGUUCCCUCUUGCCAGACCAGAUCAGUGUCAGACGCGUCACCACCACAAACGCAGCACAAAUCUAAUCAUGCUGCCUGCCCCCAACUCACCUGGCCUGCAGCACAUGAACUUGUUGGUAGAAGAGGAGCGCAGUGAGACCUGGGCAGGGCUGGAUUCCAUGGAGAAGAGUUCAUCCCGUCCAGUUACCCAAGCUAAUGAUGCUCUUAAGGAAAUCAAAACAUGUGCCAUCGACAGGGACUUCUUGGGUAAACAGAAUUUGAAUUCACCUGGCUGAAGCCCUGUGCAAAGGAAGAAGAGUCAAGUGGGACAAUUCUUCCAACCUACCUCUGAAAUCAUAGUAGAUGGUGAUGACUGAUUCAGCCCCCCAGGGCACGUCACGAUCACAACGCAGCACCCCAGCCUUCUCGU